Molecule: regulatory RNA element, 56 nt
Organism: Mesorhizobium alhagi CCNWXJ12-2
Lineage: Bacteria; Pseudomonadati; Pseudomonadota; Alphaproteobacteria; Hyphomicrobiales; Phyllobacteriaceae
Rfam family: terC RNA
Source: Rfam
CCACCAGACCGGGCCCCUCUGGCAGCUCCCACGAGCUGUGAUGUCGGACUGGCAUU